Long non-coding RNA from Amaranthus tricolor (Joseph's coat), 1083 nucleotides. RefSeq lists it as uncharacterized. The record is from RefSeq and is a predicted model, not a curated record. The transcript is spliced from 3 exons. NCBI's taxonomy places the organism in Eukaryota, Viridiplantae, Streptophyta, Magnoliopsida, Caryophyllales, Amaranthaceae.
AAUAAUAAUAAUAAUAAUAAUAACCCAUAAACCUUUACCUCUCAUUUCCCAUCUCUUUCUUUCUUUCUUCUUCACUUUCCCUUUCUCAACACCAAAAAUCAUCAACCACUAGCUGCCGGCAGCCGCCGCCACCAGCUUCCACCGCCGGCCACCAGAAGCCGCCACCGCCAGUGGUCCCCCUCUGAAGUUAAUUGAAGUUCUUUGCCUUUUCCAUCAUCCUCUCAACUCUUUGGUGCCCAAUUCAUAAGAGAAGCUUGAGAAUCUCAUAUUUGGCGGGUGGUAGCUUUUUGUCUUGCAGUUACAAUUGCAAAUACGCACACGCGCAGGAUCAUCCUAGAUAGGAGUAAUAGGUAUUGGAGCUUUUUCUGCAUUACAUUGGGGGAAAGUGAUGAGUGCGAAGCAUAACACGAGUUAUGCAUUGGUCUUUUGACUUCGUAGCUCUUUUAUGUCUUUUGUAAACUUUAGGUUGUAUAUGCUUUUGGUAUGAGGCAUUGUGUCCUCCGUUGUAUUUUAAUGUAUAUUUUAAAAACAAUUUCUUACUUACAUAUAAAAUAUUUUUUUUGAAACAAUCAAACUCUUUAACAUUCUUAUUUAAUUAAAUAACUGUAUAAAUACGUAAAUUUUUUCCUUAUUAAAUGCAGAUUAAUUAUAAUAAUUAUUAUUUUUUUCAUUAAAUGCAUGAUUGUAAUUGAAAAGGGAUUCGGUAUUGGUAUAUAUCAUGCAAUCUACUAAUUUUAUUGUAUAAUAGUAUAAGGUAGUUUGAUUGUGAGCAUGACAUUUGUCUUUUUUUCAUUGGACGCUAUUAAUGGAAUUUGACUAAUUGACAUUUCUUUUUGGAUUUACCAUAUUUGUAAAUUUGCAUUGUUGGAAAAAUUUAUACAUUGAUAGAUACCAUAAAUAACAAUUAUUCCAAUUACACUAUCAUACAAUCUAUUAAUUUUAUUGUAUAAUAGCACAAAGCAGUUUGAUUGUGAGUAUGACAUUUGUCUUUUUUUCUUUGGACGCUACUAAUGGAAUUUGACAAAUUGACAUUUCUUUUUGAAUUUACCAUAUUUAUAAAUUUGUAUUGCAAGAAAAAUUUAU